GAUCCUGGCUCAGGACGAACGCUGGCGGCGUGCUUAACACAUGCAAGUCGAACGCUGAAGCUCAGCUUUUGUUGGGUGGAUGAGUGGCGAACGGGUGAGUAACACGUGAGUAACCUGCCCCCUUCUUUGGGAUAACGCCCGGAAACGGGUGCUAAUACUGGAUAUUCACUUGCCUUCGCAUGGGGGUUGGUGGAAAGGUUUUUCUGGUGGGGGAUGGGCUCGCGGCCUAUCAGCUUGUUGGUGGGGUGAUGGCCU
Molecule: ribosomal RNA, 255 nt
Filed under: uncultured bacterium
Lineage: Bacteria
Description: partial 16S ribosomal RNA
Rfam family: Bacterial small subunit ribosomal RNA
Source: RNAcentral